Molecule: long non-coding RNA, 484 nt
Filed under: Anser brachyrhynchus (Pink-footed goose)
Lineage: Eukaryota; Metazoa; Chordata; Aves; Anseriformes; Anatidae
Description: lncRNA (ENSABRG00000013962.1)
Source: RNAcentral
GCUUCCUCAGUCGCUUUCUCAGAGAGGAGGAAUUUGCAGUUUUAACUUCUUUUUCAGUUCAGUGCAGUUGCGAUCUUCUCUAGGGGGACGGAUUUGCUGAUGGCCUACGAUAAUGUAACCCUUGACAUCCAUGACCUUCCUCUCCCAGCUGUGAGACCCGAGAGUUGUCCCUGUGAAUGCAACACCUCUCUCCUUCGUACAAGAACGGCGCCAGUGGGCAAGUGGGUUUGGCCCUCCGGUCAGACAACGCAAGGCUGCCAAGGUUCAGAUGUGAGAUUGCAGGCGUUUCUUAAUUUGUAACACAUUAGAAGUUUGCUCGUUGCUUCUGGGAAUACAGCCAAGACCCUUUUCUUCCCUACUGGUUAUGCUACAGACAUGCACCCUGAUUCUCUUCUUAUUCUUUCCCCGGUCUUUGCCAAAUCUUAGUGACUUCGCUUUGGGGUACGCGUAAGAAAAAAUAAAUAAAUUAAAAAAUAGAAAAACA